Molecule: long non-coding RNA, 290 nt
Filed under: Rattus norvegicus (Norway rat)
Lineage: Eukaryota; Metazoa; Chordata; Mammalia; Rodentia; Muridae
Description: long non-coding RNA NONRATT003926
Source: RNAcentral
UUCUCUUGUGAAAUGGGCUUCGCAUCCACACAGCACUCAGGAUACUCUUCCACGGUCUGAAAGGAGGACAAGACUGCACAAUACCAGAGCACAUGACAAGGACAUACAUCUACCCUCCCCUUAACCGCUUUUCACACGGCCAGGCUGGGAGCAACCUAGUGGUUAUCACCAGACACUACCACAUAGUGUGGAUGUCUCCAAAAUCCACUCGGGUGAAAAGGGGCAGGGUCUGGAAGGAUAUGGAUUUAAUUUGUUUUUGAAUACUACCAGAGAAAUUAUCCAACAAGAAA